CCUACGGGUGGCAGCAGUGAGGAAUAUUGGUCAAUGGACGAGAGUCUGAACCAGCCAAGUAGCGUGAAGGAUGACUGCCCUAUGGGUUGUAAACUUCUUUUAUAUGGGAAUAAAACGUUCCACGUGUGGGCUUUUGUAUGUACCAUAUGAAUAAGGAUCGGCUAACUCCGUGCCAGCAGCCGCGGUAAUACGGAGGAUCCGAGCGUUAUCCGGAUUUAUUGGGUUUAAAGGGAGCGUAGGUGGAUUGUUAAGUCAGUUGUGAAAGUUUGCGGCUCAACCGUAAAAUUGCAGUUGAAACUGGAAGUCUUGAGUAUAGUAGAGGUGGGCGGAAUGCGUGGUGUAGCGGUGAAAUGCUUAGAUAUCACGAAGAACUCCGAUUGCGAAGGCAGUUAACUGAACUGUAACUGACACUGAGGCUCGAAAGUGUGGGGAUCAAACAGGAUUAGAUACCCGUGUAGUC
This 460-nucleotide ribosomal RNA is filed under the name uncultured bacterium. RNAcentral describes it as "partial 16S ribosomal RNA". It matches the Rfam family "Bacterial small subunit ribosomal RNA", at positions 338 to 795 of the family's 1533-position model. The record is from RNAcentral.